AACGAACGCUGGCGGCAUGCCUAACACAUGCAAGUCGAACGAGACCUUCGGGUUUAGUGGCGCACGGGUGCGUAACGCGUGGGAACCUGCCCUUAGGUUCGGAAUAACUCCCCGAAAGGGGUGCUAAUACCGGAUAAUGUCUUCGGACCAAAGAUUUAUCGCCUUUGGAUGGGCCCGCGUUGGAUUAGCUAGUUGGUAGGGUAAAAGCCUACCAAGGCGACGAUCCAUAGCUGGUCUGAGAGGAUGAUCAGCCACACUGGGACUGAGACACGGCCCAGACUCCUACGGGAGGCAGCAGAGGGGAAUAUUGGACAAUGGGCGAAAGCCUGAUCCAGCAAUGCCGCGUGAGUGAUGAAGGCCUUAGGGUUGUAAAGCUCUUUUACCCGGGAUGAUAAUGACAGUACCGGGAGAAUAAGCUCCGGCUAACUCCGUG
Molecule: ribosomal RNA, 433 nt
Filed under: uncultured bacterium
Lineage: Bacteria
Description: partial 16S ribosomal RNA
Rfam family: Bacterial small subunit ribosomal RNA
Source: RNAcentral